CGGACGGGUGAGUUACGCGUAGGUAAUCUGCGUUUAGGUUAUGGAUAACAAAUGGAAACGUUUGCUAAUAUGUCAUAUCGCUUUGAAUUUUUCUGAGUGAAAGAAGUUUUUCGCCUAAACAUGAGCUUGCGUUUGAUUAGCUAGUUGGUGGGGUAACGGCUUACCAAGGCGAUGAUCAAAAGCUGUUUUGAGAAAAUGAACAGCCACACUGGGACUGAGAUACGGAACAGACUCUUACGGGAGGCAGCAGUGGGGAAUAUUUGGCAAUGAGCGAAAGCUUGACCAAGCAAUGCCGCGUGAAGGAUGAAGGCCUUUGGGUUGUAAACUUCUUUUCUCAUUGAAGAAGUUCUGACGGUAUUUGAGGAAUAAGCAUCGGCUAAUUUCGUGCCAGCAGCCGCGGUAAUACGAGAGAUGCGAGCGUUAUCUGGAAUUAUUGGGCGUAAAGCGUCUGUAGAUGGUUUACUAAGUUUAAUGUUAAAUUUUAAAGCUUAACUUUAUAAAGGCAUUAAAAACUGGUAGACUCGAGUACAAUAGAGGUAAAGGGAAUUUUCAGUGUAGCGGUGAAAUGCGUAGAUAUUGAAAGGAACGCCAAUGGCGAAAGCACUUUACUAGGUUGAUACUGACAUUGAGAGACGAAAGCUAAGGUAGCAAAACAGAUUAGAUACCUGUGUAGUCUUAGCCGUAAACGAUGGAUACUAAGUGAUAUAAUUUGUAUUGCUGUAGCUAACGCGUUAAGUAUCCCGCCUGGGGAGUAUGCUUGCAGUAGUGAAACUCAAAGGAAUUGACGGGGGCCCGCACAAGCGGUGGAGCAUGUGGUUUAAUUCGAUG
This 828-nucleotide ribosomal RNA is filed under the name uncultured bacterium. Its description in RNAcentral is "bacterial SSU rRNA". It matches the Rfam family "Bacterial small subunit ribosomal RNA", at positions 99 to 956 of the family's 1533-position model. The record is from RNAcentral.